Molecule: ribosomal RNA, 460 nt
Filed under: uncultured bacterium
Lineage: Bacteria
Description: partial 16S ribosomal RNA
Rfam family: Bacterial small subunit ribosomal RNA
Source: RNAcentral
CCUACGGGUGGCUGCAGUGAGGAAUAUUGGUCAAUGGACGCGAGUCUGAACCAGCCAAGUAGCGUGAAGGAUGACUGCCCUAUGGGUUGUAAACUUCUUUUAUAUGGGAAUAAAAUGGUCCACGUGUGGGAUUUUGUAUGUACCAUAUGAAUAAGGAUCGGCUAACUCCGUGCCAGCAGCCGCGGUAAUACGGAGGUUCCGAGCGUUAUCCGGAUUUGUUGGGUUUAAAGGGAGCGUAGGUGGAUAGUUAAGGCAGUUGUGAAAGUUCGCGGCUCAACCGUAGAAUUGCAGUUGAAACUGGCAUUCUUGAGUACAGUAGAGGUGGGCGGAAUUCGUGGUGUAGCGGUGAAAUGCUUAGAUAUCACGAAGAACUCCGAUUGCGAAGGCAGCUCACUGGACUGCAACUGACGCUGAGGCUCGAAAGUGUGGGUAUCAAACAGGAUUAGAUACCCUGGUAGUC